Molecule: non-coding RNA, 241 nt
Organism: Pelobates cultripes (western spadefoot toad)
Lineage: Eukaryota; Metazoa; Chordata; Amphibia; Anura; Pelobatidae
Source: the annotation of a GenBank genome assembly
AUAUGGGUAAUAAAGCCACUAGAGUACUUGCACAGAGACUCCGCGAUAAACAAACUCAAUCUAGAAUUCCAUUUAUACUUCCUAAGACAGGACAAAAAAUUAUUCAACCAAAGCUGGUUUGUGAGGAAUUUGCAGCCUUUUAUGGGUUAUUGUAUAACUUAAAAGAUCAAAAAAAAUCUUCCAUAACCAACUUCUAGAGGAAUAGGUCAAUAUCUGGAUAAAUUAAACUUAUCUACUUUAA